This 600-nucleotide ribosomal RNA is filed under the name uncultured bacterium. Its description in RNAcentral is "bacterial SSU rRNA". It matches the Rfam family "Bacterial small subunit ribosomal RNA", at positions 14 to 621 of the family's 1533-position model. The record is from RNAcentral.
UGAUCCUGGCUCAAGAUAAACGCUGGCGGCGCACAUAAGACAUGCAAGUCGAACGGACUUAAUUCAUUCUUUUAGAUUGGAAGCGGUUAGUGGCGGACUGGUGAGUAACGCGUGAGCAACCUGCCUAUUAGAGGGGAAUAACAGUGAGAAGUCAUUGCUAAUACCGCAUAUGCUUACACUAUUGCAUGAUAGAGUAAGGAAAGGAGCAAUCCGCUAAUAGAUGGGCUCGCGUCUGAUUAGCUAGUUGGCGGGGUAACGGCCCACCAAGGCUUCUAUGGGUAGCCGGGUUGAGAGACCGACCGGCCAGAUUGGGACUGAGACACGGCCCAGACUCCUACGGGAGGCAGCAGUCGGGAAUAUUGCGCAAUGGAGGAAACUCUGACGCAGUGACGCCGCGUGCAGGAAGAAGGUUUUCGGAUUGUAAACUGCUUUAGACAGGGAAGAAACAAGACAGUACCUGUAGAAUAAGCUCCGGCUAACUACGUGCCAGCAGCCGCGGUAAUACGUAGGGAGCAAGCGUUAUCCGGAUUUAUUGGGUGGUAAGGGUGCGUANACGGGAAGGCAAGUUAGUUGUGAUAUCCCUCGGCUUANCUGANGAAC